This 439-nucleotide ribosomal RNA is filed under the name uncultured bacterium. Its description in RNAcentral is "partial 16S ribosomal RNA". It matches the Rfam family "Bacterial small subunit ribosomal RNA", at positions 339 to 795 of the family's 1533-position model. The record is from RNAcentral.
CUACGGGGGGCAGCAGUGGGGAAUAUUGCACAAUGGGCGAAAGCCUGAUGCAGCAACGCCGCGUGAGCGAUGAAGGCCUUCGGGUCGUAAAGCUCUGUCCUCAAGGAAGAAUUUUGACGGUACUUGAGGAGGAAGCCCCGGCUAACUACGUGCCAGCAGCCGCGGUAAUACGUAGGGGGCUAGCGUUAUCCGGAAUUACUGGGCGUAAAGGGUGCGUAGGGGGUCUGACAAGUCAGGGGUGAAAGGCUACGGCUCAACCGUAGUAAGCCCUUGAAACUGUCGGACUUGAGUGCAGGAGAGGAAAGUGGAAUUCCCAGUGUAGCGGUGAAAUGCGUAGAUAUUGGGAGGAACAUCAGUGGCGAAGGCGACUUUCUGGACUGUAACUGACACUGAGGCACGAAAGCGUGGGGAGCAAACAGGAUUAGAUACCCGGGUAGUC